GACGAAGGGGGCUAGCGUUGUUCGGAAUUACUGGGCGUAAAGCGCGUGUAGGCGGAUCUUUAAGUCAGGGGUGAAAUCCUGGAGCUCAACUCCAGAACUGCCUUUGAUACUGAGGAUCUUGAGUCCGGGAGAGGUGAGUGGAACUCCGAGUGUAGAGGUGAAAUUCGUAGAUAUUCGGAAGAACACCAGUGGCGAAGGCGGCUCACUGGCCCGGUACUGACGCUGAGGUGCGAAAGCGUGGGGAGCAAACAGG
Molecule: ribosomal RNA, 253 nt
Filed under: uncultured bacterium
Lineage: Bacteria
Description: partial 16S ribosomal RNA
Rfam family: Bacterial small subunit ribosomal RNA
Source: RNAcentral